GUCAGUGUGGUGUAGUAGUUUGAACGCUGGACUAUGACUCUGGAAAGUAGGGUUCAAAUCCCCACGCAGCUA
Phrynosoma platyrhinos (Desert horned lizard) is the source of this 72-nucleotide non-coding RNA. Lineage: Eukaryota; Metazoa; Chordata; Lepidosauria; Squamata; Phrynosomatidae. The record is from the annotation of a GenBank genome assembly.